RNAcentral lists this ribosomal RNA (581 nucleotides) under uncultured Lysobacter sp. RNAcentral describes it as "bacterial SSU rRNA". It matches the Rfam family "Bacterial small subunit ribosomal RNA", at positions 102 to 679 of the family's 1533-position model. Lineage: Bacteria; Pseudomonadati; Pseudomonadota; Gammaproteobacteria; Lysobacterales; Lysobacteraceae. The record is from RNAcentral.
ACGGGUGAGGAAUGCGUCGGAAUCUGCCUAUUUGUGGGGGAUAACGUAGGGAAACUUACGCUAAUACCGCAUACGACCUACGGGUGAAAGUGGGGGACCGCAAGGCCUCACGCAGAUAGAUGAGCCGACGCCGGAUUAGCUAGUUGGCGGGGUAAAGGCCCACCAAGGCGACGAUCCGUAGCUGGUCUGAGAGGAUGAUCAGCCACACUGGAACUGAGACACGGUCCAGACUCCUACGGGAGGCAGCAGUGGGGAAUAUUGGACAAUGGGCACAAGCCUGAUCCAGCCAUGCCGCGUGUGUGAAGAAGGCCUUCGGGUUGUAAAGCACUUUUGUCCGGAAAGAAAACCUUUCGAUUAAUACUCGGGGGGAAUGACGGUACCGGAAGAAUAAGCACCGGCUAACUUCGUGCCAGCAGCCGCGGUAAUACGAAGGGUGCAAGCGUUACUCGGAAUUACUGGGCGUAAAGCGUGCGUAGGUGGUUUGUUAAGUCUGAUGUGAAAGCCCUGGGCUCAACCUGGGAACUGCAUUGGAAACUGGCUUACUAGAGUGCGGUAGAGGGUAGUGGAAUUCCCGGUGUAGC